GCCAAUCAGAGAAUGGCAUUCGUGAUAUAAAACUAGUAGAUUUGUACUAAAACUCGAUAGAAACACAGAUCUAGCACAAGCUGUCAACAUACGUGUAAUCAUUGCAUAGGCAAAGAGAAUUUACAAUGUACAUUUUGGUGAUCAAAGUAAACAAGUUACACUGUAGUUAAGAUAAGAUAAGAUACUUUAUUUAAUGUGGAGUUACGCUUAGCUAAUUAGCUAGUUUACAGGUAAUGCACGGCCUUACAGCUGUAGUAUAUUCUAAAAAUUAAAACUAAAAAUGUGCAAUAAUUGAUCGUAUAAAACUAUAAAGACCUAUAAAUGCAGAGAACUGAAAAUCUAAAGAAUCAAAUUACAAUAAAUUCCAACUUCAGUCAAACUUAAGCGAUCAAGUUUUGUUGUUCACUUCAUUAGUGCCUACUUUAAAUUUAGUUCUCAUAUCAUAAUUUGUUAGGUCAUUCCAUUUCUUUGUGGCAAAAUAUCUCCAUGAUUUGAGACCAUAUUUAGUUGUGUUACAUGUAAUUUUUGGCAAAGAAAGGAUAUAGUCAUGUCAAAGGUUAUACUUGGAUGAUGGUAAGGUGAUAAGAUCUCUAAUUGCGGAUGGAGCUUUGUCCGAUAUACAAUUGUUUAUUGUCGACAGCAUGUCCUGAAUUCUUUGAGUUUCCAUGGAUGGCAGUCUGAUUCUUUGUAAGAGAUCUUGAUAAGGUACACUUUUAUUAUUUUUUAAAGACGUACCUUAAAGCCCUUUCGUUGACUUUUUCGAUUUUAGCAGUAUUUCUUUUUCUGCAGUGGUGCCAGACUUGGUUACCAUAGUUAAAAUAUGGUAGUAUAAAUGCAAAGUAGUAUAAAUGUUUUCUUUUUUGUUGCAAAAUUUCCUCGGACCGCUCCCCAUCUGGCAGUAGUUCUUUGGAAGAAGAUAGUUUGUAUGGCAUCAAUUAGGAUGUUUCUUCUCAUUAAUAAUAAUACCAGUUUGGCUAAAGAAAUCUUCUUUUAUCUUCAAACAUGAUGCACAAUCCAAGGCCCACCCACCCAUGACUCACUCACCGUGAUUUAUUCACCCCUUGCAUAAACUCAUUGUUCAUGUUCCAGCAAGAUGCUUUUUUAAAGAGCACUAGUUUCCCAUCCAAAUUAGAAGGAAGCAAUCUCAGAAAAGUCAGCCAGACUUUUUUCUCCAGUGAGGUACAUAAUUUAUACAGCUUGAGCGCAUCUUUAUUUUUUUGUAGCAUUUUCAAAGAAAUAUCCUGUUUCAUUUGACAGCGUUUUCAAGGAAAUGGCAUGGUUGAGGUAGUAAAUGUAUUCAUGGCACAUUGUUUUUUGUGUAGAGUAAUUAAAAUACUAGUAAUCAUCAAUUUCUUGUAGUUUCCACUUGGUGACAGUCCAUCUCCAUUGCCAAACAAGUCCAUGAAUAUGAACUAUAAUCAGUCCAUUGCCUGAUUAAGGAACAAUGUUGCUUAUUUUCACUGAAGCAUUGUCUACACCUACAUGUAUGGUUGAACUGCUUGAGGAUCACGGUUCAAGAUAACAUGACAGAGAUUUUGUGGAGUCAUCAGCAAGUGAAGGAAAGAAGAAUGUAAUAAAAUGUUUUGAAGUAACUUAGCCCAGUGAUAGCUUUCAGGAACGAAGAAUAGUCCAGACGUAACUCGAGGCUACUAGUUUUAGUGACAAAAAAUUGCAUUUCAGUUUGGAAGUUUCAGUUAAUGCUCUAAGAAAUCUCUAAAUUAAUCAGUGUUGCCACAGUGUUUUUCACUCAUAGUGAGUGAAGAAAAAAAUCUUCCAAGUUCAGAGAAGGUCACAGAAUUUUUUUUUCAGUCGGGGAAAAUUGGCAUUUGAAGAAAAGUCAGUGAAAUUUGAAAUCAUAACACUGCUGAUUUAAUGCUAUUAAAGCCUGGAAAGGACUUUUCAGGUCACUGUGAUCUGAACGAUGUUUUAUCUUAAUUAAUGUAGGUGAAUUUGUUGAAAUUAUAUUAGUCUGGAGGGAGAAAAGGUGGCUGUUUGGGGGAGGCUAGAGACCGCUACUGUAUCUGACAUUUUGUAAUUAUCCAGUCAGGGAAUUUUGAAAAGUGAACUCUGUGGUAACAGUGUUUAAAAUCGUUAAAAUCUUUGAAAAAACACUUAACAGUAUUACAGAGUGCAUUUGCCGCUAGUGGUAGUAGCCUCGAGUUGUGCUUUUGGUCAAGGUAAAUUUCCAGUGAAAUGUAAUUUCCAAGUUACUUUUGAACUAGUCAGCUGUAUUGAAAAUACAAUGCACAGUGUAUAUAAAGGAACCCAGGAAAAUAAGUCCAGGAAGAAGCUAACUGAAGUCUUUUGGCAGUAACUUAUUUGCGGUGUUAUACUGACCUAGAGAAAAAGAGCUGAAGAAAAAGUCUUUUGGCGGGAAAAUUUUCGCGCUUUUGAAAGGGGCCGAGAACAAAUUCUGGAAAGAAAAACUAAGUCUUUUGGCUGGAAAUUGUUUACUGUUUUAAAAGGUACUAAGAAAAAAGUCGAAGAAAAACCCGUUUUUUGGCGGGAAAAUUGUCCUUAGGGAAAAAAGUCUGUGCUUUUGAAUGGUGUCUGGUUUUGAGUCAAAAAUAUAGUAAGUCUUUUGGCGGGAAAAAUCUUGCCUUGUGCAGCGGAUUUGUCCCAUCAAAAGUCAAAGUAUAUGUUUGUUUUCUGGCUAGACUCUGUUCAAAAGUGCAGAAUUUUUUUUCUUUUUGGCAACCCUACAUAGUCAAAAAAUAGUAAAAGAGAUAGCCUACAUUCCGACUAGUUUCCAGGCCCCUUUUAAAAGCGCGAAUUUUUUAUUUAUUUAUUUGCUUAUUCAAUAAAGUCAAACAGACAAUAGAGACAAGAGACAAUUAAAGUUGUGAAUACUUUA
This 2854-nucleotide long non-coding RNA is filed under the name Orbicella faveolata. Its description in RNAcentral is "uncharacterized LOC110061296". Lineage: Eukaryota; Metazoa; Cnidaria; Anthozoa; Scleractinia; Merulinidae. The record is from RNAcentral.